Molecule: ribosomal RNA, 255 nt
Filed under: uncultured bacterium
Lineage: Bacteria
Description: partial 16S ribosomal RNA
Rfam family: Bacterial small subunit ribosomal RNA
Source: RNAcentral
UACGUGGGGGGGCGAGCGUUAUCCGGAUUUACUGGGCGUAAAGCGCGUUAAGGCGGUCGGCAAAGUUGGUUGUGAAAUCUCAGGGCUCAACCCUGAAAUUGCGACCAAUACUGGUCGACUAGAGUGCAAGAGAGGAAGGUGGAAUUCCCGGUGUAGUAGUGAAAUGCGUAGAUAUCGGGAGGAACACCAGUGGCGAAGGCGGCCUUCUGGCUUGUAACUGACGCUGUAGCGCGAAAGCGUGGGGAGCGAACCGGG